UCCAGGGGAAUAAAAUUUGUACGUGUACGGAAUUGAAGGUACCCUGGGAAUAAGCAUCGGCUAACUCCGUGCCAGCAGCCGCGGUAAUACGGAGGAUGCAAGCGUUAUCCGGGACUUAUUGGGUUUAAAGGGUGCGCAGGCGGGAAAAUAAGUCAGUGGUGAAAUCCUGCAGCUUAACUGUAGAAUUGCCGUUGAUACUGUUUUUCUUGAGUGUGGUCAAGGAAGGCGGAAUGUGUAAUGUAGCGGUGAAAUGCUUAGAUAUUACACAGAACACCAAUUGCGAAGGCAGCUUUCUGGGCCGUAACUGACGCUCAUGCACGAAAGCGUGGGGAUCGAACAGGAUUAGAUACCCUGGUAGUCCACGCCGUAAACGAUGAUCACUCGCUGUUGGCGAUAUACAGUCAGCGGCAAAGCAAAAGCAUUAAGUGAUCCACCUGGGGAGUACGGCCGCAAGGCUGAAACUCAAAGGAAUUGACGGGGGCCCGCACAAGCGGAGGAACAUGUGGUUUAAUUCGAUGGUACGCGAGGAACCUUACCUGGGCUUAAAUGUAGAGUGCAUUUCACCGAAAGGUGGAUUUUCUUCGGAACUCUCUGCAAGGUGCUGCAUGGUUGUCGUCAGCUCGUGCCGUGAGGUGUCGGGUUAAGUCCCAUAACGAGCGCAACCCUUAUCGUUAGUUGCCAGCGGGUAAUGCCGGGAACUCUAACGAAACUGCCGGUGUAAACCGUGAGGAAGGUGGGGAUGACGUCAAAUCAGCACGGCCCUUAUGUCCAGGGCUACACACGUGUUACAAUGGCCGGUACAGAGGGCAGCUACCUGGAGACAGGAUGCGAAUCUCCAAAACCGGUCUCAGUUCGGAUCGAAGUCUGCAACUCGACUUCGUGAAGCUGGAUUCGCUAGUAAUCGCGCAUCAGCCAUGGCGCGGUGAAUACGUUCCCGGGCCUUGUACACACCGCCCGU
This 958-nucleotide ribosomal RNA is filed under the name uncultured bacterium. RNAcentral describes it as "bacterial SSU rRNA". It matches the Rfam family "Bacterial small subunit ribosomal RNA", at positions 434 to 1397 of the family's 1533-position model. The record is from RNAcentral.